This is a small nuclear RNA of Ochotona curzoniae (black-lipped pika), 107 nucleotides long. NCBI's taxonomy places the organism in Eukaryota, Metazoa, Chordata, Mammalia, Lagomorpha, Ochotonidae. The record is from RefSeq and is a predicted model, not a curated record.
GUACUCGCUUCGGCAGGACAUAUGCUAAAACUGGAACGAUACAGAGAAGAUUAGCAUGGCCCCUGUACAAGGAUGACACACAAAUUUGUGAAGAGUUCCAGAUUUAA